UUAAAGAGCAAAAUUCCAUCUUUAUUAUAUACAUAUCGUAUGUUUUCGUCGUUCUGAUUAUUUUCUUCAGUCUUGUUUUGUGUUUGGAUGCCGAGAAAAUUAUUGAGAAGAAAAUUCUGGGUUUCAAGUUCUGGGUUUCUUGUUAUAUUUUCAAGAAGUGCUCGACUCAAUUGGGGAAAAUGCGUGCGUGUGUGUAUGGGGGUGAUGAAGAACCCAUUGAGCCAGUCUGUAAAGAUAUAGAAGAAAAUGAAGGGGAAAUUGAUUCUGACCUUCUUCAGUCUGCUUGUCGACACAGAGAAGGACGGCCACCGGAUUUCUUUCAACAACACUUUCAAAGAGUUUGCAGGUGGAAAAGAAAGGCAAUUACAAUCCAAAGAAGAAACAUCCGCUGAAGAGGAACACAAUGGCUGUCAAGCAUGUCAGAGAAAUGAUGCAGAGGAUCCGUAAUUCUUUGAAAAAAGAUUUCCAAACCAUGUGUGACGAGGAUGAUGAUGAUACUAAUUCAGAGCAUUCGGAAUGCAAGCAGCGGAAGGCAAUGGUGAAGAAGAACAAGAUCAAGAAAGGCACGGGAGGCUCGAUGAAGACCGCGAAGAAGAAGAGAAAUGCUCUGAGCAAUGGCUCGGACCGUUGGUUAUGCAACUCAUGUAUUUAUGAUUACCGGGGAUAAGGGAAUUCGAACUUGAAACUCAAUAAUUGAAAAUCAUAGUGACUUGUUUUCUAA
Malus domestica (apple) is the source of this 721-nucleotide non-coding RNA. The record is from RefSeq and is a predicted model, not a curated record. Lineage: Eukaryota; Viridiplantae; Streptophyta; Magnoliopsida; Rosales; Rosaceae.